GGUGUAGCUCAAUUGGCAGAGCACUCGCCUUGUAAGCGAAAUGUCUGCCCAUCGAGUUCUAGCUUCAGAACCCGCUCUGACCU
Molecule: transfer RNA, 83 nt
Filed under: Actinomycetota bacterium
Lineage: Bacteria; Bacillati; Actinomycetota
Description: tRNA-Thr
Source: RNAcentral